UAUAGAUAAUUUUUAUUAUAUAAUGUAUCAAAAUUGAAUUAAUCUUGAAUCUUGUAAGAUGAGGCCGCGGUUAAAAGAAUUUAGAAACCUAUGGAAAAGAAUGUAUAUGGGCUUACACCGAAUAUAUAUUGUAAUCCACUAUAGUCCAAUAAAUAUUAGCGUGCCCAAAUUUUUUGACUGNGACAUCUAUAUAUCUAAUAUUAUAUAAAAGAUCAGUGCAAGGUAAAUUUUAGCGCUAUUUUUUCUCUCUCCAUGUUUUCUUCCUCCCACGUUCUUUCAAACUACUACUGCAUUAACCACGAUCCAUUAAAAUUAGAAUUUAAUCCCCAUUAUUUUAAACUAUUUUCAUCAACCAACCCUCUCCUCUCGCAGAUUCCAUCACUGCCGCACGAAGAUUCGGCCGUCAUUUAUCGUUCGUCCAUCAUACUCUGAUGGAGACUCAAU
This 444-nucleotide long non-coding RNA is filed under the name Salvia miltiorrhiza (redroot sage). RNAcentral's name for it is "long non-coding RNA (SMIL_LNC009613)". Lineage: Eukaryota; Viridiplantae; Streptophyta; Magnoliopsida; Lamiales; Lamiaceae. The record is from RNAcentral.